This 1664-nucleotide small RNA is filed under the name Pan troglodytes (chimpanzee). RNAcentral describes it as "processed transcript". Lineage: Eukaryota; Metazoa; Chordata; Mammalia; Primates; Hominidae. The record is from RNAcentral.
AGGGAGCAGCCUUGAGUGGUGAGCCUACUACUCUGACCAAGGAAGAAGAAAAGAAACAGCCUGAUGAAGAACCCAUGGACAUGGUAGUGGAAAAACAAGAAGAAACGGACCACAAGAAUGACAAUCAAAUACUGAGUGAAAUUGUUGAAGCGAAAAUGGCAGAGGAAUUGAAACCAAUGGACACUGAUAAAGAGACCAUAGCUGAAUCAAAAUCCCCAGAGAUGUCCAUGCAAGAAGAUUGUAUUAGUGACAUUGCCCCCAUGCAAACUGAUGAACAGACAAACAAGGAGCAGUUUGUGCCAGGUCCAAAUGAAAAGCCUUUGUACACUGCGGAACCAGUGACCCUGGAGGAUUUGCAGUUACUUGCUGAUCUAUUCUACCUUCCUUAUGAGCAUGGACCCAAAGGAGCACAGAUGUUACGGGAAUUUCAAUGGCUUCGAGCAAAUAGUAGUGUUGUCAGUGUCAAUUGCAAAGGAAAAGACUCUGAAAAAAUUGAAGAAUGGCGGUCACGAGCAGCCAAGUUUGAAGAGAUGUGUGGACUAGUGAUGGGAAUGUUCACUCGGCUCUCCAAUUGUGCCAACAGGACAAUUCUUUAUGACAUGUACUCCUAUGUUUGGGAUAUCAAGAGUAUAAUGUCUAUGGUGAAGUCUUUUGUACAGUGGUUAGCGUUUGCUGCCAAUUGAUGGGGCAAAUGAUCUCUUUUUUCAGCCACCUCCACUGACUCCUACCUCCAAAGUUUAUACUAUCAGACCUUAUUUUCCUAAGGAUGAGGCAUCCGUGUACAAGAUUUGCAGAGAAAUGUAUGACGAUGGAGUGGGUUUACCCUUUCAAAGUCAGCCUGAUCUUAUUGGAGACAAGUUAGUAGGAGGGCUGCUUUCCCUCAGCCUGGAUUACUGCUUUGUCCUAGAAGAUGAAGAUGGCAUAUGUGGUUAUGCCUUGGGCACUGUAGAUGUGACCCCCUUUAUUAAAAAAUGUAAAAUUUCCUGGAUCCCCUUCAUGCAGGAGAAGUAUACCAAGCCAAAUGGUGACAAGGAACUCUCUGAGGCUGAGAAAAUAAUGUUGAGUUUCCAUGAAGAACAGGAAGUACUGCCAGAAACUUUCCUUGCUAAUUUCCCUUCUCUGAUAAAGAUGGACAUUCACAAAAAAGUAACUGACCCAAGUGUGGCCAAAAGCAUGAUGGCUUGCCUCCUGUCUUCACUGAAGGCUAAUGGCUCCCGGGGAGCUUUCUGUGAAGUGAGACCAGAUGAUAAAAGAAUUCUGGAAUUUUACAGCAAGUUAGGAUGUUUUGAAAUUGCAAAAAUGGAAGGAUUUCCGAAGGAUGUGGUUAUACUUGGUCGGAGCCUGUGACAUUUGUUGACACUGUGAACUGUCCAAAAGUCUCUUAACUGCACCUUGUGAGUGGUAGUUGAGGUCUUCAUACAGUUCAGCCUCUAGAAUGGUAACAAAUCAGCCAAUUGGAUUCGAAACAAAGACGACUAUGUAAAACUCACCCAUCACACUUUCAGACUACUCACUGAUUGGAAGAAUAUAGUAUUGCAGCAAAUCCUGUAUGAAAGAGAGAUGUGGGUUUCCUUUUUGAGUCUUGUGUUAGGUGCUGAGACCUUUUACAUGGGCUUAUACAGGGAGAGAGUCUUCAAUAAAUGUAGUCAGCACUAUUUUCUGCA